AAAAUAAUAAAAAGAAAAGAGAGAGUGUAGAAAGUUUCUCAAGUGAGAAACUAUGAGAUACUCUCUACAAGCCAUCAUUAUAUUUCUCUCCUCUCAAUUGGUUCAAUUUUUUCAUGAAAAUAAAAAUUUAAUCAUAUAAUAAA
Molecule: small RNA, 143 nt
Filed under: Arabidopsis thaliana (thale cress)
Lineage: Eukaryota; Viridiplantae; Streptophyta; Magnoliopsida; Brassicales; Brassicaceae
Description: ATSL295880
Source: RNAcentral